ACACCAUGGGAGUGGGUUGCUCCAGAAGUAGCUAGUCUAACCGCAAGGGGGACGGUUACCACGGAGUGAUUCAUGACUGGGGUGAAGUCGUAACAAGGUAGCCGUAGGGGAACCUGCGGCUGGAUCACCUCCUUAA
Molecule: ribosomal RNA, 136 nt
Filed under: Salmonella enterica subsp. enterica serovar Typhimurium
Lineage: Bacteria; Pseudomonadati; Pseudomonadota; Gammaproteobacteria; Enterobacterales; Enterobacteriaceae
Description: partial 16S ribosomal RNA
Rfam family: Bacterial small subunit ribosomal RNA
Source: RNAcentral